RNAcentral lists this ribosomal RNA (1071 nucleotides) under uncultured Lauderia. RNAcentral describes it as "partial 18S ribosomal RNA". It matches the Rfam family "Eukaryotic small subunit ribosomal RNA", at positions 576 to 1668 of the family's 1831-position model. The record is from RNAcentral. Lineage: Eukaryota; Bacillariophyta; Thalassiosirophyceae; Thalassiosirales; Lauderiaceae.
GCGGUAAUUCCAGCUCCAAUAGCGUAUAUUAAAGUUGUUGCAGUUAAAAAGCUCGUAGUUGAAAUAUUGAUGUGGUCAACCGGUCUCGCGCUUUGUCGUGAUGGCUUGUGUUGUGCCAUAUCAUUCUUGGUGAUAGCCUGUCUGGCAUUAAGUUGUUAGGCUUGGCAAAAACCAUCGUUUACUGUGAAAAAAUUAGAGUGUUCAAAGCAGACUUGUGUCAAUGAAUACAUUAGCAUGGAAUAAUAAUAUAGGGCUUUUGCACUAUUUUGUUGGUUAGGUACGAAAGUAAUGAUCAACAGGGACAGUUGGGCAUAUUCGUAUUUCGAUGCUAGAGGUGAAAUUCUUGGAUUUUCGAAAGACGAACUACUGCGAAAGCAUUUAUGAAGGAUGUUUUCAUUAAUCAAGAGCGAAAGUUAGGGGAUCGAAGAUGAUUAGAUACCAUCGUAGUCUUAACCAUAAACUAUGCCGACUCGGGAUUGGGCGACGUUUUUUGACUCGUCCAGCACCGUGUGGGAAACCAUUAGUCUUUGGGUUCCGGGGGGAGUAUGGUCGCAAGACUGAAACUUAAAGAAAUUGACGGAAGGGCACCACCAGGAGUGGAGCCUGCGGCUUAAUUUGACUCAACACGGGAAAACUCACCAGGUCCAGACAUAAUGAGGAUUGACAGAUUGAGAGCUCUUUCUUGAUUUUAUGGGUGGUGGUGCAUGGCCGUUCUUAGUUGGUGGAGUGAUUUGUCUGGUUAAUUCCGUCAACGGACGAGACCGCUGCCUGCUAAAUAGUUCUGUGAAUCAUUCUUGAUUGACGUGAACUUCUUAGAGGGACGUCCAUUCUACAAGAUGGAGGAAGAUAGCGGCAAUAACAGGUCUGUGAUGCCCUUAGAUGUCCUGGGCCGCACGCGCGCUACACUGAUGCAUUCAACAAGCAUACAACCUUGGCCGAGAGGCCUGGGUAAUCUUUUUAAUGUGCAUCGUGAUAGGGAUAGAUUAUUGCAAUUAUUAAUCUUGAACGAGGAAUUCCUAGUAAACGUAUAUCGUCAAUAUACAUUGAUUACGUCCCUGCCCUUUGUACACA